Mus caroli (Ryukyu mouse) is the source of this 1046-nucleotide non-coding RNA. The record is from RefSeq and is a predicted model, not a curated record. Lineage: Eukaryota; Metazoa; Chordata; Mammalia; Rodentia; Muridae.
AUGAGAGGUGGGGUGGGGACAAACCUGAAGAAGCCAGCAACAGAAACCCUCACUAAGAUAUUAGCCACAGGAGGCGGGAGGAGUGGAGAUGGCGACAGAGGUGGCUGUGGAGCUUGCAGGGGCAGGGAGCCCACGGGAACUGCUGGGGUCGUUCUGGUGGUCCUGGGGGAGAUGGAGGGGGUAAAGGGGCAGCCACUCGACAUGGGCCCACACUACACGCAGCUGCAGUACAUCAGUGAGGGAGGGCGAGUAUGGCAUGGUCAGCUCAACUUAUGACCAUGUGAGCAAGACAAGAGUGGCUAUCAAAAGAUCAGCCCCUUUGAGCAUCAAACCUACUGUCAGCGCACGCUGAGGGGAAACCCAGAUCUUGCUGCAAUUUUGCCAUGAGAAUGUCAUAGGCAUCUGAGACAUCCUCAGAGCACCCACCCUGAAAGCCAUUGGAGACAUUUACAUUGUUCAGGACCUCAUGGAGACAGACCUGUGCAAACUGUUUAAGAGCCAGCCCCUGAGCAGUGACCACAUCUGCUACUUCCUCUACCAGAUCCUCUGGGGCCUCAAGUGCAUACACUCAGCCAAUGUGCUGCACUGGGACCUGAAGCCCGCCAAUCGGCUUAUCAACACCACCUGUGACCUUAAGAGCUGUGAUUUUGGCCUGGCCCAGAUUGCUGACCGUGAGCAUGACCACACUGGCUUUCUGACAGAGUAUGUGGCCACACGCUGGUCCUGAGCCCCAGAGAUCAUGCAUAACUCCAAGGGUACCCCGAAUCCAUUGACAUUGGCCUGUGGGCUGCAUUCUGGCUGAGAUGCUCUCUAGCUAGCCCAUCUUCCCAGGCAAGCACUACCUGGACCAGCUCAAUCACAUUCUAGGUAUCCUGGAUUCCCCAUUCCAGAAGGACCUUAAUUGUAUCAUUGAACUUUGCUCAACUCAGACCCCGGAAGCCCAGGCUGGACCAAGGGUGUGCCUGGCCACCUUCUCUUACUGUGCUGGGGUCUCCUGCUUUAAGCAGGCUUCUCCCACUCCAACCCCCUGCCCCAUCUCCCCAUAG